Molecule: ribosomal RNA, 374 nt
Filed under: uncultured organism
Description: partial 16S ribosomal RNA
Rfam family: Bacterial small subunit ribosomal RNA
Source: RNAcentral
GUAGGUGGCAAGCGUUGUCCGGAAUUAUUGGGCGUAAAGCGCGCGCAGGCGGUCCUUUAAGUCUGAUGUGAAAGCCCACGGCUCAACCGUGGAGGGUCAUUGGAAACUGGGGGACGUUGAGUACAGAAGAGGAAAGCGGAAUUCCAAGUGUAGCGGUGAAAUGCGUAGAGAUUUGGAGGAACACCAGUGGCGAAGGCGGCUUUCUGGUCUGUAACUGACGCUGAGGCGCGAAAGCGUGGGGAGCAAACAGGGAUUAGAUACCCUGGUAGUCCACGCCGUAAACGAUGAGUGCUAAGUGUUAGGGGGUUUCCCGCCCCUUAGUGCUGCAGCUAACGCAUUAAGCACUCCGCCUGGGGGAUACGGCCGCAAGGCUG